RNAcentral lists this transfer RNA (73 nucleotides) under Platypelis tuberifera (Ambatoharanana giant treefrog). Its description in RNAcentral is "tRNA-Asn". The record is from RNAcentral. Lineage: Eukaryota; Metazoa; Chordata; Amphibia; Anura; Microhylidae.
UAGAAUGAAGCUCACUGGAUGGAGUGUUUAGCUGUUAACUAAAAUUUUACGGGAUCAAGGCCCGUCUUUCUAG